UACGUAGGGGGCAAGCGUUGUCCGGAUUUAUUGGGCGUAAAGAGCGUGUAGGCGGCCAAACAGGUCAGCUGUGAAAACUCGAGGCUCAACCUCGAGACGUCGGUUGAAACCGUAUGGCUAGAGUCCGGAAGAGGAGAGUGGAAUUCCCGGUGUAGCGGUGAAAUGCGCAGAUAUCGGGAAGAACACCCGUGGCGAAGGCGGCAUCCUGGACCGGCAUUGACGCUGAGGCGCGAAAGCCAGGGGAGCAAACGGG
This 253-nucleotide ribosomal RNA is filed under the name uncultured bacterium. Its description in RNAcentral is "partial 16S ribosomal RNA". It matches the Rfam family "Bacterial small subunit ribosomal RNA", at positions 524 to 776 of the family's 1533-position model. The record is from RNAcentral.